RNAcentral lists this ribosomal RNA (253 nucleotides) under uncultured bacterium. RNAcentral describes it as "partial 16S ribosomal RNA". It matches the Rfam family "Bacterial small subunit ribosomal RNA", at positions 524 to 776 of the family's 1533-position model. The record is from RNAcentral.
UACGGAGGAGGCAAGCGUUAUCCGGAAUUAUUGGGCGUAAAGCGUCCGCAGGUGGCACUUCAAGUCUGUCGUCAAAGACUGGGGCUUAACCCUGGAAAGCCGGUGGAUACUGUCGGGCUAGAGUGCGGAAGAGGCGAGUGGAAUUCCUGGUGUAGCGGUGAAAUGCGUAGAUAUCUGGAGGAAUACCGGUGGCGAAGGCGGCAUCCUGGACCGACAUUGACGCUGAUGAGCGAAAGCUAGGGGAGCAAACGGG